This 322-nucleotide unclassified non-coding RNA is filed under the name Russula sp. RNAcentral's name for it is "partial contains 5.8S ribosomal RNA, internal transcribed spacer 2, and large subunit ribosomal RNA". RNAcentral also lists the same sequence under 2 other names. The record is from RNAcentral. Lineage: Eukaryota; Fungi; Basidiomycota; Agaricomycetes; Russulales; Russulaceae.
AACGCACCUUGCGCCCCUUGGCAUUCCGAGGGGCACACCCGUUUGAGUGUCGUGAAAUCUUCAAAAACCCUCUCUUUUGAGGGGGAUUUUUGGACUUGGAGGUUCAAUGCUCGCUUUCGCCUUUUAGAAAGCGAGCUCCUCUCAAACGAAUCAGUGGGGUCUGCUUUGCCGGUCCUUGACGUGAUAAGAUCUUUCUACGUUUUGGAUUCGACAUCGUCCCGCUUCCAAUCGUCCCACGGACAAAGGAUGGUGCUCCGGUCGCGGCCGGACCCACCAAAAAAACCUUGACCUCAAAUCGGGUGAGACUACCCGCUGAACUUAA